This 373-nucleotide ribosomal RNA is filed under the name uncultured organism. RNAcentral's name for it is "partial 16S ribosomal RNA". It matches the Rfam family "Bacterial small subunit ribosomal RNA", at positions 527 to 896 of the family's 1533-position model. The record is from RNAcentral.
GUAGGUGGCAAGCGUUGUCCGGAAUUAUUGGGCGUAAAGCGCGCGCAGGCGGUUCUUUAAGUCUGAUGUGAAAGCCCACGGCUCAACCGUGGAGGGUCAUUGGAAACUGGAGAACUUGAGUACAGAAGAGGAAAGCGGAAUUCCACGUGUAGCGGUGAAAUGCGUAGAGAUGUGGAGGAACACCAGUGGCGAAGGCGGCUUUCUGGUCUGUAACUGACGCUGAGGCGCGAAAGCGUGGGGAGCAAACAGGGAUUAGAUACCCUGGUAGUCCACGCCGUAAACGAUGAGUGCUAAGUGUUAGAGGGUUUCCGCCCCCCUUAGUGCUGCAGCUAACGCAUUAAGCACUCCGCCUGGGAGUACGGCCGCAAGGCUG